AGAAUUGAUCUUGGUUCAGGAUGAACGCUGGCGGCGUGCUUAACACAUGCAAGUCGAACGGAGCUUAGAAGGAAGCUUGCUUUCAUUUAAGCUUAGUGGCGGACGGGUGAGUAACGCGUGAGCAACCUACCCUCGAGUGGGGAAUAACAUCGAGAAAUCGGUGCUAAUACCGCAUAAAGUCGAGCGACCGCAUGAUCUUUCGACCAAAGGAUUUAUUCGCUUGAGGAUGGGCUCGCGUCCGAUUAGCUAGUUGGUGAGGUAACGGCCCACCAAGGCUUCGAUCGGUAGCCGAACUGAGAGGUUGAUCGGCCACAUUGGGACUGAGACACGGCCCAGACUCCUACGGGAGGCAGCAGUGGGGAAUAUUGGGCAAUGGGCGAACGCCUGACCCAGCAACGCCGCGUGAAGGAUGAAGGUCUUCGGAUUGUAAACUUCUUUGAUUGGGGAAGAAUAAAAUGACCUACCCAAAGAACAAGCCACGGCUAACUACGUGCCAGCCGCAGC
This 504-nucleotide ribosomal RNA is filed under the name uncultured bacterium. RNAcentral describes it as "bacterial SSU rRNA". It matches the Rfam family "Bacterial small subunit ribosomal RNA", at positions 8 to 518 of the family's 1533-position model. The record is from RNAcentral.